Molecule: ribosomal RNA, 2900 nt
Filed under: Klebsiella pneumoniae
Lineage: Bacteria; Pseudomonadati; Pseudomonadota; Gammaproteobacteria; Enterobacterales; Enterobacteriaceae
Description: bacterial LSU rRNA
Rfam family: Bacterial large subunit ribosomal RNA
Source: RNAcentral
UUAAGCGACUAAGCGUACACGGUGGAUGCCCUGGCAGUCAGAGGCGAUGAAGGACGUGCUAAUCUGCGAAAAGCGUCGGUAAGGUGAUAUGAACCGUUAUAACCGGCGAUGUCCGAAUGGGGAAACCCAGUGCAAUUCGUUGCACUAUCGUUAACUGAAUACAUAGGUUAACGAGGCGAACCGGGGGAACUGAAACAUCUAAGUACCCCGAGGAAAAGAAAUCAACCGAGAUUCCCCCAGUAGCGGCGAGCGAACGGGGAGCAGCCCAGAGUCUGAAUCAGCUUGUGUGUUAGUGGAACGGUCUGGAAAGUCCGACGGUACAGGGUGAUAGUCCCGUACACCAAAAUGCACAGGUUGUGAACUCGAAGAGUAGGGCGGGACACGUGGUAUCCUGUCUGAAUAUGGGGGGGACCAUCCUCCAAGGCUAAAUACUCCUGACUGACCGAUAGUGAACCAGUACCGUGAGGGAAAGGCGAAAAGAACCCCGGCGAGGGGAGUGAAAAAGAACCUGAAACCGUGUACGUACAAGCAGUGGGAGCACCUUCGGGUGUGACUGCGUACCUUUUGUAUAAUGGGUCAGCGACUUAUAUUCUGUAGCAAGGUUAACCGUAUAGGGGAGCCGCAGGGAAACCGAGUCUUAACUGGGCGUUAAGUUGCAGGGUAUAGACCCGAAACCCGGUGAUCUAGCCAUGGGCAGGUUGAAGGUUGGGUAACACUAACUGGAGGACCGAACCGACUAAUGUUGAAAAAUUAGCGGAUGACUUGUGGCUGGGGGUGAAAGGCCAAUCAAACCGGGAGAUAGCUGGUUCUCCCCGAAAGCUAUUUAGGUAGCGCCUCGUGAAUUCAUCUUCGGGGGUAGAGCACUGUUUCGGCUAGGGGGUCAUCCCGACUUACCAACCCGAUGCAAACUACGAAUACCGAAGAAUGUUAUCACGGGAGACACACGGCGGGUGCUAACGUCCGUCGUGAAGAGGGAAACAACCCAGACCGCCAGCUAAGGUCCCAAAGUCAUGGUUAAGUGGGAAACGAUGUGGGAAGGCACAGACAGCCAGGAUGUUGGCUUAGAAGCAGCCAUCAUUUAAAGAAAGCGUAAUAGCUCACUGGUCGAGUCGGCCUGCGCGGAAGAUGUAACGGGGCUAAACCAUGCACCGAAGCUGCGGCAGCGACACUAUGUGUUGUUGGGUAGGGGAGCGUUCUGUAAGCCUGCGAAGGUGGCCUGUGAGGGUUGCUGGAGGUAUCAGAAGUGCGAAUGCUGACAUAAGUAACGAUAAAGCGGGUGAAAAGCCCGCUCGCCGGAAGACCAAGGGUUCCUGUCCAACGUUAAUCGGGCAGGGUGAGUCGACCCCUAAGGCGAGGCCGAAAGGCGUAGUCGAUGGGAAACAGGUUAAUAUUCCUGUACUUGGUGUUACUGCGAAGGGGGGACGGAGAAGGCUAUGUUAGCCGGGCGACGGUUGUCCGGUUUAAGCAUGUAGGCUGAUUGUCCAGGCAAAUCCGGAUAAUCAAGGCUGAGGUGUGAUGACGAGGCACUACGGUGCUGAAGUAACAAAUGCCCUGCUUCCAGGAAAAGCCUCUAAGCAUCAGGUAACAUCAAAUCGUACCCCAAACCGACACAGGUGGUCAGGUAGAGAAUACCAAGGCGCUUGAGAGAACUCGGGUGAAGGAACUAGGCAAAAUGGUGCCGUAACUUCGGGAGAAGGCACGCUGGUGUGUAGGUGAAGCCCCUGCGGGUGGAGCUGAGACCAGUCGAAGAUACCAGCUGGCUGCAACUGUUUAUUAAAAACACAGCACUGUGCAAACACGAAAGUGGACGUAUACGGUGUGACGCCUGCCCGGUGCCGGAAGGUUAAUUGAUGGGGUUAUCCGUAAGGAGAAGCUCUUGAUCGAAGCCCCGGUAAACGGCGGCCGUAACUAUAACGGUCCUAAGGUAGCGAAAUUCCUUGUCGGGUAAGUUCCGACCUGCACGAAUGGCGUAAUGAUGGCCAGGCUGUCUCCACCCGAGACUCAGUGAAAUUGAACUCGCUGUGAAGAUGCAGUGUACCCGCGGCAAGACGGAAAGACCCGUGAACCUUUACUAUAGCUUGACACUGAACAUUGAGCCUUGAUGUGUAGGAUAGGUGGGAGGCUUUGAAGCGUGGACGCCAGUCUGCGUGGAGCCAACCUUGAAAUACCACCCUUUAAUGUUUGAUGUUCUAACGUUGGCCCCUGACCGGGGUUGCGGACAGUGUCUGGUGGGUAGUUUGACUGGGGCGGUCUCCUCCCAAAGCGUAACGGGAGGAGCACGAAGGUUAGCUAAUCCUGGUCGGACAUCAGGAGGUUAGUGCAAUGGCAUAAGCUAGCUUGACUGCGAGCGUGACGGCGCGAGCAGGUGCGAAAGCAGGUCAUAGUGAUCCGGUGGUUCUGAAUGGAAGGGCCAUCGCUCAACGGAUAAAAGGUACUCCGGGGAUAACAGGCUGAUACCGCCCAAGAGUUCAUAUCGACGGCGGUGUUUGGCACCUCGAUGUCGGCUCAUCACAUCCUGGGGCUGAAGUAGGUCCCAAGGGUAUGGGCUGUUCGCCAUUUAAAGUGGUACGCGAGCUGGGUUUAGAACGUCGUGAGACAGUUCGGUCCCUAUCUGCCGUGGGCGCUGGAGAAUUGAGGGGGGCUGCUCCUAGUACGAGAGGACCGGAGUGGACGCAUCACUGGUGUUCGGGUUGUCAUGCCAAUGGCACUGCCCGGUAGCUAAAUGCGGAAGAGAUAAGUGCUGAAAGCAUCUAAGCACGAAACUUGCCCCGAGAUGAGUUCUCCCUGAGACUUUAAGUCUCCUGAAGGAACGUUAAAGACGAUGACGUUGAUAGGCCGGGUGUGUAAGCGCAGCGAUGCGUUGAGCUAACCGGUACUAAUGAACCGUGAGGCUUAACCUU